UCCGGCUUAUCACCGGCAGUCCCCCUAGAGUGCCCAACUGAAUGCUGGCAACUAAGAUCAAGGGUUGCGCUCGUUGCGGGACUUAACCCAACAUCUCACGACACGAGCUGACGACAACCAUGCACCACCUGUCACUCUGUCCCCCGAAGGGAAAAGCCCUAUCUCUAGGGUUGUCAGAGGAUGUCAAGUCCUGGUAAGGUUCUUCGCGUUGCUUCGAAUUAAACCACAUGCUCCACCGCUUGUGCGGGCCCCCGUCAAUUCCUUUGAGUUUCAGCCUUGCGGCCGUACUCCCCAGGCGGGGCACUUACUGCGUUAGCGACGGCACCGAAUCCGUCUAGAGACCCGGCAUCUAGUGCCCAUCGUUUACGGCGUGGACUAC
This 379-nucleotide unclassified non-coding RNA is filed under the name uncultured bacterium. RNAcentral describes it as "contains 16S-23S intergenic spacer region". The record is from RNAcentral.